GAAAGAGAGAGAGAGAGAGAGAGAGAGCAGCCACUGACUCUCCAGCGGCAGAAGUUCACGGCCCCAGCCAGGCGCCUAAGCCAGCUUCUUCCCCAACCGCAGCGAGGACAGCCUCACGGGCGGUUUCUAUUUGGUGAUGAAGGAAAACCAAAUAUACCACAGCCCCUGCAGAGGACAGAGGAGAAGUUGAGUCCCAGAAAUAGAAAGCGAUGGCCUUGGGAACUAGGGGGCUGGAGCCUGGGGCCCAGGGCCUCCUGUUCCUGCCUGCCUCCCCACCAUCAGCCCUGGGGACCCCUAAGCGGCUAUUUCUAUUCCACUGAUGAAAAUCCACAGUGCACAGAAGAGAAGGUUAAGGUCAUCCCUGCCUCAGGGCCUUUGCAGCAGCAGCUCUCCCGGUUGCUCCCCUUCCUCAAGAUGUCUUGCCUGCUGCACGUCUGUAUACCACAUGUGUGCCUGGUGCCUGCAGAGGUUGUAAGAGAGCGUCAGAUCCCUUGGAACCGGAGCUACGGACAGUUUCGGGCCACGGCAUUGGUGCUGAGAACCAAACCUGGGUCCUCUGCAAGAACAGCAAAUGCUCCUAACCACUGAGCCACCUCUCCAGCCUCCACAGGCUGCUGUUUUUAAUUUACCAGCCUAUCUACCAUUAUGUCCAAGACAGAAGGGCCUGCCUUCUUGGAACUCACCAUUUACUGAUCAUAGUUGAUCAGGAUAAAUCAAUCAGUAAUCUGCCAAUCAAUGGUGUCCAUCUCCUCUCUGAGGCAGGCAGGCUGCAGCUCUGUCGUCUUUUGGGAUCAAAUACAAUGCAUUUAAGGAAGAGCCCGUCUGCUGAACACCCGCUCUGGGGGCCUGCUUCCGAUUGGGACAUGACAGGGAGCUGAAAGGACCUGCGUGGACACUGUGACUCCCCACACGAGGAUGUGGGGUUAGUCCUGUCCCCGAUUCCCUGGGCUGGCUCUUGGCAGAGCGUGUCCCAUGGAGGUCACAGCUUCUGUCCUUGGCAAGCCCCACUGCAGGUCCGGUGCUCUCACUGGGGUGAUGACACUCGGAUAUCAUCUUUGGCCAUGAUCGCACGGCUGUAUGUCCACGGCCAUGCUGGGCUUCCGCUGACACACUGGGACUGGCCCAGAAGCAGCCUCUCCCCUAGCGCCCAGCAGCGACAGGAACUCCUGGGAAGGGAAGGGCUUCACCCUGCACUUCCCCUUUUGGGUCCUUUUAAAAAUAAACGAUGAGUUGCAAGUUGGAAGGCCUCAGUUAGUAACUUCCAGCCACAAGCGGGAAGGAAACAGCAGGUGCUCACGGCCCAGCUUUGCGCCAUACCCAUCCAGGAACGUUCUGGAAUCCUGUGUGCUUUACAGUGGAAGCUGCUGUCUUCCCCUCUCCCACCUCACCUCUGGGGUCACAGGAAGGAGGAGAAGCUAUGUGAGCCAAGGCAGGGCGCAGGUGGCCAUUCUCUGGGAACAGGCCCACAAACCACCCCGCCUUGCUCCUGGAUCUGAAGGGAAAAAAAGCUCCAGGGAACAUGGCGGUAUUAAGAAGGGGCCGGAGAUGUCCCUGGAGGCCAGGCAGGCACUGUGAAGGGGCCAGUGUCCAGAGAGCAGGCAAAGCCAGGGGAACCUGGAGCCUGAACUCUGGACAGUCUGUCCUUGUGCUCACCAGCCAAUGCCUGAGCACCUACUGUGCGCUGGGCAGGGCCAGCACCAUGGAGACACACUGUGUGCUCUCAGAAUGGGGGCUGUGGGAGGGGUAGACAGUGUGGGCUGUGUCAUGCUAGAGAAUCCAAGGACCCUCCCUACCCCAAGUCCAGAGAUGAUGUGGACAUGGUAGAAAGGGCUUGUUGGGGAAACGACCUUCAGGGGAAAGUCGAUGGAGCCGUUGGGGUCUGGGGUGGGCAGCUGGAGGUCAUGUGACAGCAGGGGCAAGGGCUCCAGGCAGGAUCAGGCCUUUCCUGAGCCACAGAGGCCAGCACAGUAGAAGCCAGGGAAGGAAGAGAGUAUUAUGAGGUAGGAGGAGGCCCAAGGCUGGGGCCAGGGCAGGCAUGGCCUCAUGGGACAGCCCAAGGACGUAAGAGGUGGCCCUGUGCCAAGCCACGUUCUAGGACAGCGGACUGUGGGGCUGGAGGGCAAGGUAGAAGAGAGAAAUCCGGGCAGGGACAGAGCUAGAACCAUAGGCCCUGUACAUCAACCGCCACGCACAACAGGGGGGCCCAGGGAGAUGCACCCGAAUCAGAGGCACACAUGUGUGGGCCGUGGCCGUUCAGCCCCUCCCCCACACGCCCACCUACAGCCCUGCAGAGACAUACACUUCCCAUCCCUGAUGGUCCCAAGUGUAUUCUGGAUGUACGGUCCACACCCAGACCCUACACAAGUGGGCGAAGCAAUGCGGUGUGCAACCCACACACACGUGGACAGCCACGCACAUCCACACGGGCGCAUUCUGUGAAUAUAUGGAGACUCAACCCAUACAGCAACCCCCCAAUAUAGGACACACACAUACUCAUACAUUUACAUACAUAUACCAUACCGCACGGCACACACCAGUCAUAAAUCACAUACACACACAGCCCAUACGACACAGCACACUCUCAUCCCCAUGCCUACUACCACACAACACACCCCACAUACACACACAGCACAUACGCAUACAUAGUGUAUCAUACCACACACACACCAGUCAUACAUCAUCACACAGACACACACACACACAUGUACCUAGUGACUCAUCGUCUGCGUCAGAAACCGUGUUGAUCUGCUUCUGACUUCAGAGCGGAGACCCUGCCACUUUGGAUUUGGGGUGCCGUUUCUGCUUCCCGCUGCUCGGCUUGGUUGGCCUCUCAGGGCUCAGGGACCACAAACCCGCCCGGCAGAGCAGCCACCUGCUCUGGGGCCAGACGCAGGCUGUAUUAGCUGUCAUCACACUAAUAACGAGGUCUGAUCUGGGGCCAAGAAGAGCCCACGGGGCACCUUCCCGGAACAAGGGAGUGCUCAUACACUGGCACGCACACCCACACGCCCUCUGUCCCAAGCAGGGCGUGUGGGAAAGGGGCAGACCCAUGUGGGAAGGAAGGACUGAAACUCUAUGGGGACCUGUGAGUCAGCACAGGGAUGGGACAGUUAGUGGGUGUGUCCCUUGGCUCCAGAGGGAUGAGGAGAUGGAAGUCUAGAUAAAGUCCGGAAGGCAGGUGGGUUAGUCAGGGCUCUCCGACCAGACUCACAAGGGACCAAACCCCAGCACAGAUCAAUUCAAGCUCAGAGGAAUUCAGUGAGUCACAUUAAAGACAUUUUAGAGACGGGUUGCUUCAGGCACAGCUGGAUCCAGGUGUUUGGAUGACCCGUGCUUCCCACAGCUCUGGAAAACAGCUCAGUGGAUGUUAGCUGUUAACUUCUGAUGGCGGCAGCUGCCAACGCCACUACGACCACAAUAAUCUGCCAGCCCAGGAGCCAUAGGGAAGCCAUGUUUUUCCUCCACUACACAGGCUCCCACAGGAGCUGGGUCACAGGCUGGAGGCAGCCUGCUGUCCCUGGUAGACCCUAUGCCUGCAAAUCCCCCAGCAGAAGGGCGGCAUCGGGGCCAGAUAGGCCUGGAAUUCAGGCUUGAUUCUGUUCUUAAGUAGCAUCGUCGCCCCAUGCCUCAG
Long non-coding RNA from Meriones unguiculatus (Mongolian gerbil), 3631 nucleotides. RefSeq lists it as uncharacterized. The record is from RefSeq and is a predicted model, not a curated record. The transcript has 5 exons. Lineage: Eukaryota; Metazoa; Chordata; Mammalia; Rodentia; Muridae.